This is a long non-coding RNA of Chloebia gouldiae (Gouldian finch), 1591 nucleotides long. NCBI's taxonomy places the organism in Eukaryota, Metazoa, Chordata, Aves, Passeriformes, Passeridae. The record is from Ensembl.
CAGAAGAGGAGACUGAAACUGCCUCUCUCUUGCUCAUUCUUCAGUGCCAGAUCACAUCAGGCUGUAAGAUACCUGAGGACUAUUUGUUUGCAGACUGCUGGAAGACAGAGAUGGAAUCACCUAUUGUAAAAAACUCAAAAGAACAUGAAAAGGUCUUCUUGUGAUCAUCAAAAUCAUCAGCAAAGUAGCAGAACCUGUCAGUAGAAGUUUGUGUUUGAUUCAGUGCAAGUCGUCUGCCUUGUGGGCCUAUCUGAUACUUGGAUCAAAGCUGAAGUGCAGUCAGAGGGAAACAAGGAAGUGUUCAGAAGAAUUGAAACAAGGCUGGAUUCUCAGAAACACAAAGACAAAUCCAUUUUCUCAGCAAGCUGACGCAACUCUGAAGAUGCCAGGAGUUGUAGCUGAUCAUGUGGUGAAUCUGGAGCCUGAGCAACUUAGAAAUGACACUGCUUCUUUGAUGAAAUGCCCUCACCUCAUUAAAAGUUGCCAGGGUUGCUGAGGUCCUGUGUCUCCUUCCACUCUCUGCUGAGCCUGCCAGAGUAGAUCAGCAGGGGUCAACUACAGCAGGAAGCCUGGUAAUGCAGAAAUCUGCAAGUUGGGAGCCACACUGAUUUUCCUGGCAGUGGCUUGCUGGUAUAUGUACAGGAGCUUUUGUUAGCUGUCAGUCUGAAUGGAAUGUCAGUCAUUCCCUUGGAGCCUGAUCUUCAGAUCACUGCACUCUCAGAGGGGGCUAGUGCCUUCAUCUUCAUACAGUAAUAACUCAGGUCUGUGGAAGCUGGAACCCUUAUCUUUUGUUAAGAAGGCCUUGUGAUAUUUAGUCCCCACGUGAUUUUCUUUUUCUAACUCUACAGAAAAGUUUGAACCCUUUGCAACUGAUAUGCUACCCAUUUUUUUUUAUGGGACAGUUUGGAUCACUUAGCAUGCUCUGGGUCAUCUGUCACUUUGGCUGGCAGUUGUCAGAUUUCCAGAGUGGAAGCGGGAUGAGUUGCUAGGGGAUGUCUUGUGCUCUAUGUCAUUUAUGCAUUCACUGAUGUGCAACAGAUUUAUAUGAGUAGUUCAAGGCCUCUCUGUACCAGAUGAGCUUGUACUGAAAUCUCAGACCAUCCCACAUAUUCUCCUGGAGGAGACACUAAGAUUAUUGGUAUUCUUUUAAAAAUAGUCUUCUUCUUCAUCAGCUAAUGCUGAUUUUCUUCCUCUCAGCAUCAAAGAACAAUUUCUAACUACAUCUCUUUCUUGCAGAAAUUUCAAAGCAGUGUUGCACAGCAUGAUUCAAGCAUGCACACAUGGUAGAACUAGAUAGAAUUAAAGACAUUUGUGUUUAUCCAGUUAAACUACUGGUUCCUUUUCCUGUGACUGUUCUUUAAUAUACUGGCCACACAUUGUCUCUAACCCUGCAAUGCAGCCCUCCUUCUCAUCAUCAUGCUUAAGCUGCUGAGCCUUCUCUUCUGUUAAGCCGCUCACUUAAUUCUGGUUUUCCUUCUACUGUAAGGAGAUGCCCUGAGCCUUGGUUCCUACCUAUGCAGGCAAGUAAAGCUGAUGUGAAGCAGAAAUGAAGUAAAAUAAAAUAGAAUAAACUAAACUAAACUAAAAUAAA